Hordeum vulgare subsp. vulgare (domesticated barley) is the source of this 547-nucleotide long non-coding RNA. RefSeq lists it as uncharacterized. The record is from RefSeq and is a predicted model, not a curated record. The transcript has 3 exons. Lineage: Eukaryota; Viridiplantae; Streptophyta; Magnoliopsida; Poales; Poaceae.
GUGGGUGACAAGCUUCCAAGCAGCUGCUGAUACUGUCAACGGUUUCUCCUUUCAUCCAUACCUUCCUCUUGCUACAACAUCAUCUGGGCACAGAAGAUUUGGUAUGCAAGAUGAAUUCGAAGAGGAAUCGAGUUUGGCAGGCGAUGAGAAAUGCUGCUCCGUUUGGAAGUUUUCUUGCUCACAAGAAGCUUGAAACAACAUCAAGCCCUAAGCUAUGGAGGGACAGGCGAACAUUUUGGACUGCAGAUGUUGGAGGUACAUGGUGUAAUGACAUCGGGCUAUAGCUGUGGGUGAGCAAGAACUGGAUGCAGACCGCUAAAACGUGAACUAUACCGAUGAGUUACUAGAGAAUUUGCCGGCUUAUCCUGUUCCAGGCAGACAACUUACCGUGCCGGGUAACAAGCUGGUAAAGCAUGAUAGUACGAUUGUUUUUUGGGGGAUAUGAGUUGAUAUUUUUAUCAUGGCAUGUAAAGAUGGUAUUUGUGUGCAUAAACACCUUGUAUGUCGGUCGAUUAGGCCCCAUUCAAUUCGAAGUCUUAUUCACCAA